GGCCCCUUGGUCAAGCGGUUAAGACAUCGCCCUUUCACGGCGGUAACAGGGGUUCGAUUCCCCUAGGGGUCACCA
This 75-nucleotide transfer RNA is filed under the name Anaerofustis stercorihominis. RNAcentral describes it as "tRNA-Glu". It matches the Rfam family "tRNA". Rfam says of the family: Transfer RNA (tRNA) molecules are approximately 80 nucleotides in length. Their secondary structure includes four short double-helical elements and three loops (D, anti-codon, and T loops). The record is from RNAcentral. Lineage: Bacteria; Bacillati; Bacillota; Clostridia; Eubacteriales; Eubacteriaceae. RNAcentral also lists the same sequence under 4 other names.